Molecule: ribosomal RNA, 806 nt
Filed under: uncultured bacterium
Lineage: Bacteria
Description: bacterial SSU rRNA
Rfam family: Bacterial small subunit ribosomal RNA
Source: RNAcentral
GGCAAAAGCCUGAUGCAGCCAUGCCGCGUGUGUGAAGAAGGCCUUCGGGUUGUAAAGCACUUUCAGCGAGGAGGAAAGGGAUGUAGUUAAUAACUGCAUUCUGUGACGUUACUCGCAGAAGAAGCACCGGCUAACUUCGUGCCAGCAGCCGCGGUAAUACGAGGGGUGCAAGCGUUAAUCGGAAUUACUGGGCGUAAAGCGUGCGUAGGUGGUUUGUUAAGCAAGAUGUGAAAGCCCCGGGCUCAACCUGGGAACUGCAUUUUGAACUGGCAAACUAGAGUAUUGUAGAGGGUAGUGGAAUUUCCAGUGUAGCGGUGAAAUGCGUAGAGAUUGGAAGGAACAUCAGUGGCGAAGGCGGCUACCUGGACAAAUACUGACACUGAGGCACGAAAGCGUGGGGAGCAAACAGGAUUAAAUACCCUGGUAGUCCACGCCGUAAACGAUGUCAACUAGCCGUCUGUGACCUUGAGUCGUGGGUGGCGCAGCUAACGCACUAAGUUGACCGCCUGGGGAGUACGGCCGCAAGGUUAAAACUCAAAUGAAUUGACGGGGGCCCGCACAAGCGGUGGAGCAUGUGGUUUAAUUCGAUGCAACGCGAAGAACCUUACCAUCCCUUGACAUCCAGAGAAGAGACUAGAGAUAGACUUGUGCCUUCGGGAACUCUGUGACAGGUGCUGCAUGGCUGUCGUCAGCUCGUGUUGUGAAAUGUUGGGUUAAGUCCCGCAACGAGCGCAACCCCUAUCCUUAUUUGCCAGCGCGUAAUGGCGGGAACUCUAAGAAGACUGCCGGUGAUAAACCGGAGGAAG